GAGUUUUGGAAGUUCUAGUUAAACUUAGACUAUGAUUUGAUGAAACUUGAUGUUUGAUGUUAAAGGUAGUGUUUUGAUUGCUCAAGCAAGUUUGAAUAAGGUAAUAGAACUUAUAUGUGCCUUUGGUUGAGGUCCCGGGGGCCUCGGGUGAGUUUCAGGGCGGUUUUGGUCCAUUUCUAGGCCAUUUUUAACUGCUGGAUUUUGUCUGAAG
Molecule: long non-coding RNA, 211 nt
Filed under: Nicotiana benthamiana
Lineage: Eukaryota; Viridiplantae; Streptophyta; Magnoliopsida; Solanales; Solanaceae
Description: long non-coding RNA (NBEN_LNC029913)
Source: RNAcentral